UAGGGAAUCUUCCACAAUGGGCGAAAGCCUGAUGGAGCAACGCCGCGUGUGUGAUGAAGGGUUUCGGCUCGUAAAACACUGUUGUAAGAGAAGAAUGACAUUGAGAGUAACUGUUCAAUGUGUGACGGUAUCUUACCAGAAAGGAACGGCUAAAUACGUGCCCAG
Molecule: ribosomal RNA, 165 nt
Filed under: uncultured bacterium
Lineage: Bacteria
Description: partial 16S rRNA
Rfam family: Bacterial small subunit ribosomal RNA
Source: RNAcentral